Molecule: long non-coding RNA, 245 nt
Filed under: Setaria italica (foxtail millet)
Lineage: Eukaryota; Viridiplantae; Streptophyta; Magnoliopsida; Poales; Poaceae
Description: long non-coding RNA (SITA_LNC002993)
Source: RNAcentral
UGGUUAGUACGAGAGGGAGAUAGUUAUGUUGAAGGAGGACAUCAUUAUAUGAACCAUAUGUAUUUUGUAAAAAAUCUAUCAUUGUAUCUAUGUGAACCAUAUGUUAAUGGUGGAUGCAAAACUUAAAAGAAAAUUAAGUUUCCCUUUCUAAAAUGGUAAUGUGUUAGAAAGAUAAUGUGCAUGGAAAUUAGUGAACAACACAGUGUUUCACCAGCAAUUUGAAUAUCAACAUUCUCUCAGGCCUU